This 273-nucleotide long non-coding RNA is filed under the name Elaeis guineensis (African oil palm). RNAcentral describes it as "long non-coding RNA (EGUI_LNC018681)". The record is from RNAcentral. Lineage: Eukaryota; Viridiplantae; Streptophyta; Magnoliopsida; Arecales; Arecaceae.
UUCCGAUUUUUAAUUGGAGACUAUUCUUUCUGAUUUCUCGUCAGCAUAUUCUUGAUCCGACUUCUGAUCUAAAAAAACUAAUCGGAUUGCACAAAUUAAGCAGUGUAGUCAUGUGAUUGAUUAUGACUCGUCCGACCCUUGAUCAGUAUGUGCUUGGUCUAACAUUGAUCGAAGAAUCAACUGGUCGAUCACCAAUCGCAUCCAAUCCAUACACGGUUUGAAUAUCAGAACAAUCUCUGAUCAGCAUAACAACUGCGGAUCGGCUAGUCUUCC